Molecule: ribosomal RNA, 460 nt
Filed under: uncultured bacterium
Lineage: Bacteria
Description: partial 16S ribosomal RNA
Rfam family: Bacterial small subunit ribosomal RNA
Source: RNAcentral
CCUACGGGAGGCUGCAGUGAGGAAUAUUGGUCAAUGGACGGAAGUCUGAACCAGCCAUGCCGCGUGCAGGAAGACGGCUCUAUGAGUUGUAAACUGCUUUUGUACAAGGGUAAACCUGAAUACGUGUAUUCUGCUGAAAGUACCGUACGAAUAAGGAUCGGCUAACUCCGUGCCAGCAGCCGCGGUAAUACGGAGGAUCCAAGCGUUAUCCGGAUUUAUUGGGUUUAAAGGGUGCGUAGGCGGAGUGAUAAGUUAGCGGUGAAAUGUCCGAGCUUAACUCGGGAACUGCCUCUAAUACUGUUGAUCUAGAGAGUAGGUGCGGUAGGCGGAAUGUAUGGUGUAGCGGUGAAAUGCUUAGAGAUCAUACAGAACACCGAUUGCGAAGGCAGCUUACCAAUCUAUAUCUGACGUUGAGGCACGAAAGCGUGGGGAGCAAACAGGAUUAGAUACCCCUGUAGUC